Molecule: transfer RNA, 60 nt
Filed under: Hedychium sp. RHT65123
Lineage: Eukaryota; Viridiplantae; Streptophyta; Magnoliopsida; Zingiberales; Zingiberaceae
Description: partial tRNA-Phe
Source: RNAcentral
GCCCGCAUAGCCAACUCAGCAGAGCAGAGGACUGAAAAUCCUCGUGUCACAGUUCAAUAA